AAUCAUACUUCAAUAUUUAAAGUUUUAAAAUGACUGACAAGCUUUUGGAAAACCUUAUGAUAACCUUCCCAGUGUGUGUGUUCAGAGGGCAAAAGUUUGGUGUUCUUUUUCUCUGGAUUCUGGCACAUCUUGCUUUUUUUCUGUGAGUGAGAGAAAAAGUGAACAAGGAAGUCCUAUGGUAUAAAAGUAAAUCUAGUAAAGCUUAUGUAAAUAUGUAAGUAUUAUAUGCGUAUGCUUUCCUAUGUAGUAGACUUUAACAUGAUGACAUUUGGAUAGUCUUAUGCAGGUUUUGCUUUUUGAAAUUCAAACCUGUCAUUACAGAUCUUAGCUUGUGUUUUCUUUUUGUUUAAUCUUGACUGAAUUACGUGGUGCAGUCCUCUACUCUCUAACAAGCCCACCUGUAUCUUCAUUAGCUACUAAUACUGUAUCUGCAGUAGCAUCAUCUUUGGUUGUUUUGAUGACUAAUUAACAAUUAAGUCAGUGUUUGAGGAAACUGUUAAAAAUUAUUUUUUUUUAGUUUUACUUCACUGAAGGUUUGUGACACGUAGCAUGAAUGCAUAUGCAAUACUGACUCAACCACUACAUGGAUGUAAGUCAUGAGCAUGAAAAAGCAGCAUAAACUAAGUGAAAAUCAAAACGCAGCCAUCUUCAUAAUAUGCCUAGUGGUUUCUGUUUUGUAACUGAGCACUGCAGAUGUUUAUCACCUUACUGUUACAGGCUCCAUGCUCCAUUAUUUUUGGACCUCUGUGAAAGUCUUACUGGAGGGGAAGAAUUUUGGCUUUCAUCCAAGGCAACAUGGCUGGACUGUAUGGAAUAACAGUGUUUCAUGCUCUUCAGGCUAUGAACAAUGUGCUAAUAAUUCUCAGAGGAGUACGGAUAGCGAUCCUAGAGCCAGAAAAGCCAACUUCAGGAAAAGCAAAGUACAUGGUAAGUUAAUUUCUUUCCAUUCUUUUGUAUGGUAACUUGUAGCAGAAUGAAGAUCUCAGAAAAUAAUUGUGUCCAAGUGGAGAGCUAUGACCUGCAUCUCCAGGUCUGUGUACAUGACAGUGAUAUAUUUGGAACACAUGUGCAGCAUUGUCACCAUGAACCAUUGUCACCAUUGUUAUACUUGGUUAGUGUUGUGUCAUAUGUGUUCUGGGAUCUUGUGAUCUCGUCUUGUGAGAAACUUACUGUAAGGCAGUAGAAUUUUAGGGUCUGGGAUGGAACCUUUUAAACAUCUGCAACUUACCUCUCGUAGAAUCACUCUAGAAAUCUGGACGUGCGCAUGUGGAAGCAGGAGUCUUACCCCAAUAAAACUGGGAUGCGUAACCUUAGCCCCA
RNAcentral lists this long non-coding RNA (1319 nucleotides) under Anser brachyrhynchus (Pink-footed goose). Its description in RNAcentral is "lncRNA (ENSABRG00000015171.1)". The record is from RNAcentral. Lineage: Eukaryota; Metazoa; Chordata; Aves; Anseriformes; Anatidae.